Molecule: long non-coding RNA, 457 nt
Organism: Fundulus heteroclitus (mummichog)
Lineage: Eukaryota; Metazoa; Chordata; Actinopteri; Cyprinodontiformes; Fundulidae
Exons: 2
Source: RefSeq, a predicted model, not a curated record
CUGCUGCUGCUGCUGCUGGGAAGUGAAGUUUCCCCUUUCUGGUGAAACGCUGAUAAGUUGCUGCCGGACGGCUCCCCAAGAUGCUCCUGUUUGCUCAGUGUACGAGUUUCCCUGAACGCAGCACGGAGUGAAAACGUGGCCGUAAACCACCGAGCAGACGCGCAGCUGGCGGGGGGAAGCGCUCCUCGUAGGCGGAACCGGGGCUCCACCGGAACAGCUGCGCUACAUUUUACCGGCUGGCGUAGGCCCGUUUAUCAAGCCUCUGGACCGGCCCCGCCGACGUUCAGCCUCGGCCCAGCGGGUGGUUCCGGAGGUGAGACCCGAACCUGAAAGCAUGGGGAGACCUCCAGGGAGUUUCCCGAACCUCGGAGCGGCAGUUCCGCCUUCAGCCUGUCCUGCACAGGAGGCCCUCAGUCUGCGCAGACCGGAGAACAGCCUGCCUCUGAACGCACCGUAA